Molecule: ribosomal RNA, 484 nt
Filed under: uncultured bacterium
Lineage: Bacteria
Description: partial 16S ribosomal RNA
Rfam family: Bacterial small subunit ribosomal RNA
Source: RNAcentral
AUUGAACGCUGGCGGCAGGCCUAACACAUGCAAGUCGAGCGGAUGAAGGGAGCUUGCUCCUGGAUUCAGCGGCGGACGGGUGAGUAAUGCCUAUGAAUCUGCCUGGUAGUGGGGGAUAACGUCCUGAAACGGGCGCUAAUACCGCAUACGUCCUGAGGGAGAAAGUGGGGGAUCUUCGGACCUCACGCUAUCAGAUGAGCCUAGGUCGGAUUAGCUAGUUGGUGGGGUAAAGGCCUACCAAGGCGACGAUCCGUAACUGGUCUGAGAGGAUGAUCAGUCACAAUGGAACUGAGACACGGUCCAGACUCAUACGGGAGGCAGCAGUGGGGAAUAUUGGACAAUGGGCGAAAGCCUGAUCCAGCCAUGCCGCGUGUGUGAAGAAGGUCUUCGGAUUGUAAAGCACUUUAAGUUGGGAGGAAGGGCAGUAAGUUAAUACCUUGCUGUUUUGACGUUACCAACAGAAUAAGCACCGGCUAACUACGUG